RNAcentral lists this ribosomal RNA (393 nucleotides) under uncultured bacterium. RNAcentral's name for it is "partial 16S ribosomal RNA". It matches the Rfam family "Bacterial small subunit ribosomal RNA", at positions 523 to 918 of the family's 1533-position model. The record is from RNAcentral.
AUACGGAGGAUCCGAGCGUUAUCCGGAUUUAUUGGGUUUAAAGGGAGCGUAGGUGGAUAGUUAAGUCAGUUGUGAAAGUUUGCGGCUCAACCGUAAAAUUGCAGUUGAUACUGGCUGUCUUGAGUACAGUAGAGGUGGGCGGAAUUCGUGGUGUAGCGGGGAAAUGCUUAGAUAUCACGAAGAACUCCGAUUGCGAAGGCAGCUCACUGGACUGCAACUGACACUGAUGCUCGAAAGUGUGGGUAUCAAACAGGAUUAGAUACCCUGGUAGUCCACACAGUAAACGAUGAAUACUCGCUGUUUGCGAUAUACAGUAAGCGGCCAGGCGAAAGCAUUAAGUAUUCCACCUGGGGAGUACGCCGGCAACGGUGAAACUCAAAGGAAUUGACGGGG